RNAcentral lists this transfer RNA (69 nucleotides) under Physopelta cincticollis. RNAcentral describes it as "tRNA-Met". The record is from RNAcentral. Lineage: Eukaryota; Metazoa; Arthropoda; Insecta; Hemiptera; Largidae.
AGAAAGAUAAACUAAUAAAAGUUACUAGGUUCAUACCCUAAUUAUAGAAGUAAAAUCUUCUUCUUUCUA